This 474-nucleotide ribosomal RNA is filed under the name uncultured bacterium. Its description in RNAcentral is "bacterial SSU rRNA". It matches the Rfam family "Bacterial small subunit ribosomal RNA", at positions 29 to 506 of the family's 1533-position model. The record is from RNAcentral.
AUGAACGCUAGCGGCAGGCUUAACACAUGCAAGUCGAGGGGUAGUCUAGCAAUAGAUGAGACCGGCGCACGGGUGCGUAACGCGUAUGCAACCUACCUUUUACAGGGGAAUAGCCCAGAGAAAUUUGGAUUAAUGCCCCAUGGUAUAUUUGAGUGGCAUCACUUGAUUAUUAAAGUUCCAACGGUAAAAGAUGGGCAUGCGUCCUAUUAGCUGGAUGGUAAGGUAACGGCUUACCAUGGCUACGAUAGGUAGGGGUCCUGAGAGGGAGAUCCCCCACACUGGUACUGAGACACGGACCAGACUCCUACGGGAGGCAGCAGUGAGGAAUAUUGGACAAUGGGCGCAAGCCUGAUCCAGCCAUGCCGCGUGCAGGAAGAAGCAUCUAUGGUGUGUAAACUGCUUUUGUACGGGAAGAAACACUCCUACGUGUAGGAGCUUGACGGUACCGUAAGAAUAAGGAUCGGCUAACUCCGU